RNAcentral lists this ribosomal RNA (489 nucleotides) under uncultured bacterium. RNAcentral describes it as "bacterial SSU rRNA". It matches the Rfam family "Bacterial small subunit ribosomal RNA", at positions 36 to 509 of the family's 1533-position model. The record is from RNAcentral.
CGAGCGCAUCGGCCCAACUGAUUGAAGAUGCUUGCAUCCGAUUGACGAUGGUUUACCGAUGAGCGGCGGACGGGUGAGUAACACGUAGGUAACCUGCCCAGAAGCGGGGGAUAACACCUGGAAACAGAUGCUAAUACCGCAUAGGUCAUUUGACCGCAUGGUCAAAUGAUUAAAGAUGGCUCUGCUAUCACUUCUGGAUGGACCUGCGGCGUAUUAGCUAGUUGGUAAGGUAACGGCUUACCAAGGCAAUGAUACGUAGCCGAGUUGAGAGACUGAUCGGCCACAUUGGGACUGAGACACGGCCCAGACUCCUACGGGAGGCAGCAGUAGGGAAUCUUCCACAAUGGACGCAAGUCUGAUGGAGCAACGCCGCGUGAGCGAAGAAGGUCUUCGGAUCGUAAAACUCUGUUGUUAGAGAAGAACACGGGUGAGAGUAACUGUUCACCUGUUGACGGUAUCUAACCAGCAAGUCACGGCUAACUACGUGCC